Molecule: ribosomal RNA, 253 nt
Filed under: uncultured bacterium
Lineage: Bacteria
Description: partial 16S ribosomal RNA
Rfam family: Bacterial small subunit ribosomal RNA
Source: RNAcentral
GACAGAAGGUGCAAGCGUUACUCGGAAUUACUGGGCGUAAAGCGUCUGUAGGUUUUUGGCCACGUCUGGCGUGAAAUUUCAGGGCUCAACCCUGUCCCCACGCUGGAAACGAGCUAGAUAGAGUCAUUCAGGGGCAUCUGGAAUGUCGUGUGUAGGGGUAAAAUGCGUAGAUAUCGAGAGGAACACCUGCGGCGAAGGCGGGUUGCUGGGCUGACACUGACGCUGAAGCGCGAAAGCUAGGGGAGCGAACGGG